Molecule: ribosomal RNA, 392 nt
Filed under: uncultured Planctomycetales bacterium
Lineage: Bacteria; Pseudomonadati; Planctomycetota; Planctomycetia; Planctomycetales
Description: bacterial SSU rRNA
Rfam family: Bacterial small subunit ribosomal RNA
Source: RNAcentral
CCGAAAGGGUGACGAAGCGACGCCGCGUGGGUGAGGAAGGCCUUCGGGUUGUAAAGCCCUGUCAGGAGUUAAGAAAUGUAAGUGCGCUAAUAUCGCAUUUAUUUGACGAAGGCUCCAAAGGAAGUCACGGCUAACUCUGUGCCAGCAGCCGCGGUAAUACAGAGGUGGCAAGCGUUGUUCGGAAUUAUUGGGCGUAAAGAGCACGUAGGUGGGUUUGUAAGUCAGAUGUGAAAGCCUUCUGUUCAACGGAAGAAUUGCAUCUGAAACUGCGAGUCUUGAGUGUAGGAGGGGAGAAUGGAACUUCUGGUGGAGCGGUGAAAUGCGUAGAUAUCAGAAGGAACGCCGGCGGCGAAAGCGAUUCUCCGGCCUAUUACUGACACUCAGUGUGCGAA